GCGACUGUAAUCUGAUCAAUCAACAUAUCACCUAGAUAGAACUCAAAAGUUCCCAAGGUUCUGGAUCAUCAAAACCAGAUUCUAAAUCCUUAAAACUGAAAUAGUGAUGCGACAGGCUUUAAAGGGAACCUGACCUAUCUAUCAGCUAGGAGAACGUACAAUACUAAAUCUUUUUUUUUUUAUUUUUAAUCCCAUCCCCUCUUUUUUUCCUCAUUCACCAUUUUCAACCCCAGUACCAAUGAAUUAAGGCUUAAUAAUCUUAGUCCCCAUCCAAAAUCCUAUUUCUGAGUUAGUACUUUAAAAACUGCCUAGAAGAUCAGUACCUAGACACUUACAAAGAUAUAAAAUUUCUCAUAAAUUCUGAACAUUUAUUGGCUGCAUUCAAUGGUAUUUAUUCUCUUUCUGCACGUGUCCUAACACCAACGAUUGUGUUCCACAGCACUAAGACCACUCUUUACCCACUUCCUGCCUGCCUAUAUCAAAACAACCAAAAGCCUUCAGAAGUUUGAAGAAGAAGACUAUCUUAUUGGAACAUUCCUAGAAUAGGCAGUUAUUACCGUUAGAACAGCAAAAAUGGGAAAAAAAAAAAACAUGCACUUAAUACCAAAAACAACAUAUUAUAUAUUGUAUAUAUCAUAAUCCACAUCUAUGGUCGAUGCAUGAGUAACCCAUUAUAAUAACCUAUUGAGGUCCUAGAUCAACACCAACCGCUUUUAUUGCUUGAAUUCCAAAAUUGAGAUCAAUACAUAAUAGUAUGACAACAAUACCAAUGAGAAUAAUAACCAAGUAAAAGACCUAUUAACGUUGUAGAAACUACUAUUAUUAGAAGAAAACUAGAAAAAGUCUAAUUCUAGCUUUUGUAACCUACAUACUGUAGAGAACAUUAUUAGAAGAAAAUUAGAAAAAAUCAUCAGUUAUAUCACUAGAACAAAUGGGAAGUCGCAACAAGUAACAUUUGAUUGAACGAUAUAGGCAACUAUAUGCGAAAUUAAUAACGAUUCAGCUAUUCUAGUUAAAGAUCCGGUGGAUGAAACAUGCAACAAUUAAUCAACAGCAUUUCCUUCUCUAAUUAUUUCACCCUUGUGAGUCAUAUAAGAAAAGGGGAUCAUAUAUGAACAUCCAUCCAUGUCUGCUAUUUUAAACAAGCAGUUUUAUUCUACUUCUAGUUAUUUUGAUGAAAAAUGCAUCAGACGCCAGAUCCAAACCGUCAUUUCUCGUGAAAAAUAUAGCAAACCCUAAACAACCAAACCAAACUCCGGGUGAAACAAACAAAGAAAAAAAUAAUCAAGGGCUUAUAUCAAGAAUAUGAGCCGGUAGAAGCCAGAUCCUUCGUUCACGCGAGAAAUUGGACCAAGAAUUAGAAACGAAAUCAGCGCUUCAAGAAACGGGUAAUUCGCUUCAAAGACAUCAACACUUCAAGAUCCUGAGAGAGUUGUCAUCAUAGGAAAUCCGAAGAGGCCAAUCAAGAAAACCGAGAAUUGGAGCAAGAACUAGAACGAAACACCGUAAACUUCAAGAAACGGGCGAUUCAUCUCAGAGAGGUUGUUGCCUCCCUCUCGAGACACCAGCAGAAGAAGAAUCAAGGGAUGACAUCAAGAAUGAACCAAGAUUCUUCCCUGCAUGCAAAAGAACUCGAAGCGAGCAAACAUACAAUUCCACGGUCAUUGAGAAACGGCGGAUUCACUUGACGGGCGUUCAUUCCUCCAUCUCGACGGAUGGCGUCGAAGCAACUGCGAGAGAGAUUCUUGACAACGUGGUAGGCUAGGGGAUCGAAGUGGGAAGAGAUGAGAGGAGGAAGGGGACGAAAUAGGAGAGCCGAGCGGAAAUAAUCGCCAUCAAGAAGAGGAGGUUACAUCAUCCCUUCCCUACAGGCAGAGAGAGAGAUAACGGCCAUAAAUGAAAGAUGGUUACGAUCUGAAGGGGGGAGCGUUUUAUACACGUUAUGGGUCGCAACUAACACACGCUAAUUGGGUCUGUACUUCUUGACGCUUCUGCCGUGGAAUGAAUGGUAUUCAUUACGAUUCCGAGUUUAUGGUUGGAUGAAAUUUCGAAUGUAAUGACUAAUCCGCGUGUAUUCAAUUUAGACUAAAUCAGUUACAUCAGGUCGAUUAUAACGUAAAAGAAGAUAUUAAAUGGAAUCUAAAAAGAAUACAAAUUUAAUUUUACUGAAAUUAAAUCACAACAAAUGGAAACAGAAAAC
This 2200-nucleotide long non-coding RNA is filed under the name Musa acuminata (dwarf banana). Its description in RNAcentral is "long non-coding RNA (MACU_LNC006473)". The record is from RNAcentral. Lineage: Eukaryota; Viridiplantae; Streptophyta; Magnoliopsida; Zingiberales; Musaceae.